RNAcentral lists this ribosomal RNA (524 nucleotides) under uncultured bacterium. RNAcentral's name for it is "partial 16S ribosomal RNA". It matches the Rfam family "Bacterial small subunit ribosomal RNA", at positions 28 to 523 of the family's 1533-position model. The record is from RNAcentral.
GACGAACGCUGGCGGCGUGCCUAAUACAUGCAAGUCGAACGCUUCUUUUUCCACCGGAGCUUGCUCCACCGGAAAAAGAGGAGUGGCGAACGGGUGAGUAACACGUGGGUAAUCUGCCCAUCAGAAGGGGAUAACACUUGGAAACAGGUGCUAAUACCGUAUAACAAUCGAAACCGCAUGGUUUUGAUUUGAAAGGCGCUUUCGGGUGUCGCUGAUGGAUGGACCCGCGGUGCAUUAGCUAGUUGGUGAGGUAACGGCUCACCAAGGCCACGAUGCAUAGCCGACCUGAGAGGGUGAUCGGCCACAUUGGGACUGAGACACGGCCCAAACUCCUACGGGAGGCAGCAGUAGGGAAUCUUCGGCAAUGGACGAAAGUCUGACCGAGCAACGCCGCGUGAGUGAGGAAGGUUUUCGGAUCGUAAAACUCUGUUGUUAGAGAAGAACAAGGAUGAGAGUAACUGUUCAUCCCUUGACGGCAUCUAACCAGAAAGCCACGGCUAACUACGUGCCAGCCGCCGCAGUAA